RNAcentral lists this ribosomal RNA (253 nucleotides) under uncultured bacterium. RNAcentral describes it as "partial 16S ribosomal RNA". It matches the Rfam family "Bacterial small subunit ribosomal RNA", at positions 524 to 776 of the family's 1533-position model. The record is from RNAcentral.
UACGGGGGGGGCAAACGUUAUUCGGAAUCACUGGGCUUAAAGAGUCCGUAGGCGGCAUGUUAGGUGAGGUGUGAAAUCCCCCGGCUCAACCGAGGAACUGCGCCCAAAACUACCGUGCUCGAGGGAGAUAGAGGUGAGCGGAACUUAGGGUGGAGCGGUGAAAUGCGUUGAUAUCCUAAGGAACACCGGUGGCGAAAGCGGCUCACUGGAUCUUUUCUGACGCUGAGGCACGAAAGCUAGGGUAGCGAACGGG